This 1263-nucleotide ribosomal RNA is filed under the name Salmonella enterica subsp. enterica serovar Cannstatt. RNAcentral describes it as "partial 23S ribosomal RNA". It matches the Rfam family "Bacterial large subunit ribosomal RNA", at positions 993 to 2238 of the family's 2925-position model. The record is from RNAcentral. Lineage: Bacteria; Pseudomonadati; Pseudomonadota; Gammaproteobacteria; Enterobacterales; Enterobacteriaceae.
GGGUGCUAACGUCCGUCGUGAAGAGGGAAACAACCCAGACCGCCAGCUAAGGUCCCAAAGUCAUGGUUAAGUGGGAAACGAUGUGGGAAGGCCCAGACAGCCAGGAUGUUGGCUUAGAAGCAGCCAUCAUUUAAAGAAAGCGUAAUAGCUCACUGGUCGAGUCGGCCUGCGCGGAAGAUGUAACGGGGCUAAACCAUGCACCGAAGCUGCGGCAGCGACGCUGAUGCGUUGUUGGGUAGGGGAGCGUUCUGUAAGCCUGCGAAGGUGUGUCGUGAGGCAUGCUGGAGGUAUCAGAAGUGCGAAUGCUGACAUAAGUAACGAUAAAGCGGGUGAAAAGCCCGCUCGCCGGAAGACCAAGGGUUCCUGUCCAACGUUAAUCGGGGCAGGGUGAGUCGACCCCUAAGGCGAGGCCGAAAGGCGUAGUCGAUGGGAAACGGGUUAAUAUUCCCGUACUUGGUGUUACUGCGAAGGGGGGACGGAGAAGGCUAUGUUGGCCGGGCGACGGUUGUCCCGGUUUAAGCGUGUAGGUGUGUGUUCCAGGUAAAUCCGGUUCACUUUAACACUGAGGCGUGACGACGAGGCACUACGGUGCUGAAGCAACAAAUGCCCUGCUUCCAGGAAAAGCCUCUAAGCAUCAGGUAACAUCAAAUCGUACCCCAAACCGACACAGGUGGUCAGGUAGAGAAUACCAAGGCGCUUGAGAGAACUCGGGUGAAGGAACUAGGCAAAAUGGUGCCGUAACUUCGGGAGAAGGCACGCUGACACGUAGGUGAAGUGAUUUACUCAUGGAGCUGAAGUCAGUCGAAGAUACCAGCUGGCUGCAACUGUUUAUUAAAAACACAGCACUGUGCAAACACGAAAGUGGACGUAUACGGUGUGACGCCUGCCCGGUGCCGGAAGGUUAAUUGAUGGGGUCAGCGCAAGCGAAGCUCCUGAUCGAAGCCCCGGUAAACGGCGGCCGUAACUAUAACGGUCCUAAGGUAGCGAAAUUCCUUGUCGGGUAAGUUCCGACCUGCACGAAUGGCGUAAUGAUGGCCAGGCUGUCUCCACCCGAGACUCAGUGAAAUUGAACUCGCUGUGAAGAUGCAGUGUACCCGCGGCAAGACGGAAAGACCCCGUGAACCUUUACUAUAGCUUGACACUGAACAUUGAGCCUUGAUGUGUAGGAUAGGUGGGAGGCUUUGAAGUGUGGACGCCAGUCUGCAUGGAGCCGACCUUGAAAUACCACCCUUUAAUGUUUGAUGUUCUAACGUGGACCCGUUA